Molecule: long non-coding RNA, 1515 nt
Organism: Peromyscus leucopus (white-footed mouse)
Lineage: Eukaryota; Metazoa; Chordata; Mammalia; Rodentia; Cricetidae
Exons: 4
Source: RefSeq, a predicted model, not a curated record
UCUAAACGGGAGUCAGAUGUCAGAUGUGGCCAGUUCACGAUAAAACUGCUUGAUGGAGCUGGUGCAUUCCUGAGAGUCCAGCUACUCAAGAGGCUGAAGCAGGAGGGCCAAAAGUUCAAGGCCACCUGGGCAACUUGGUGAGCGUCUGUCUCAAAUUAAUACCAACCCCGCCCCAACAAAAACAACAACAAUUUGAAGGGCUGGGGAUGUGACUCAGUCAAUAGAGUACUUGGCUAGCUAUGUGGGAGACCUGAGUGCAACCUCCAGGAAAAAGUAAAGUAAGAAUUGUGGAAGGGUGGAGCUUAUCUGUGACAUUCCUGCUGUCCUUGACCCACCAGCCACCCAGGCCACCCAACAGGUUCAGAAGGAAUCCAGCUGACUUUCCUGAGCACCUCCCCUCAGUUUAAAGUCCCUAGAGCCACGCUUGAUCACCUCUGAACCACCUCUCUGUUCUUACAAGUUAGCACAUCUGCUGGGGACAUUGGUAUUCAUGUUGGGGACACUGGUAUUCAUGUUGGGGACACUGGUAUUCAUGUUGGGGACACUGGUACUCAUCUGUUGGGGACACUGGUAUUCAUGUUGGGGACACUGGUAUUCAUAUUUUGGGGACACUGGUAUUCAUCUGUUGUGGACACUGGUAUUCAUCUGUUGGGGACACUGGUAUUCAUCUGUUGUUGGUAAGGUGCAGGGUCCUUCAGUGACAUCCCAAGACUGCAGCCCCUUAGCUGAAAGGAGGGAGAGUAUUCCCACUGGGGGGUGGGGUGGGAGGUGGAGAGGUGUGUUCCUAGGAGCCCCAGCAGUCACCUUGAUAUGCACUUGGCCUGGGAACGGGUUUCACCUUCCUCCCUAAGUGCAUUGUCUGUUUGCUUCUUUAGGUCCUAGUGGCCCAAAGUGGCUUCUGUUCCAACACGUUCCUGUAGAGUGAGAGACACGCAGCUUCAGCCUGGAAGCCGAUGACGGAGUUGCGGCCGCACCAACCAUCUGGAGCGACCCCCAACUCCUGUGACGCCCAGCUGGAGGGAGAGGCGUCUUCCAUCCCCGGAGUCUCGUGGAGGAGGAUUGAGCAGGGCUUGUGCCUGGGCUUGCCUGGGCUUGUUCAGAGCGGGGCUGCUGCCCUCUGUGACCGCACAGAUUGGGGGCUUUUGGAGACAUUGUCAGAGUUUGGAAGCCAAGGCCAGGGCUACAGGGGCCCAGAGGCUGCUCACCUGCUCGCCACGGAGCUCAGGGAACCUUGGAACUCCUUGAUGCCUGAGGAUCCCAGUCUCGACAUGGCUUUAGGCUCAAGGACCUGUCACAUCUCUCCUUCCCAUCUCUGUCACUAGCUUUGUGAAUCUGGAGGGUUUCUCACUGAACCUGGAGCUAGCCUGUCAGCCAGUAAAGCCCAGGAGCUUCCUGUCUCCAUCCCCAACAAGGCGAGGCCUGGAGGUGAGUGUAACUGAGCAUCCUUACGCCCUGAGCCGUCUCCCUAGCUCCCUGGUUGAUUCUUCUCUUUUUUUUCUUUCUCUCCUCUCUUCU